AACGAACGCUGGCGGCAUGCCUAACACAUGCAAGUCGAACGAGACCCCUGACUUCGGUUGGUAGGUCUAGUGGCGCACGGGUGCGUAACGCGUGGGAAUCUGCCCUUGGGUUCGGAAUAACUCAGAGAAAUUUGAGCUAAUACCGGAUGAUGACGAAAGUCCAAAGAUUUAUCGCCCAGGGAUGAGCCCGCGUAAGAUUAGCUUGUUGGUGGGGUAAUGGCCUACCAAGGCGACGAUCUUUAGCUGGUCUGAGAGGAUGGAUCAGCCACACUGGGACUGAGACACGGCCCAGACUCCUACGGGAGGCAGCAGUGGGGAAUAUUGGACAAUGGGCGCAAGCCUGAUCCAGCAAUGCCGCGUGAGUGAUGAAGGCCUUA
Molecule: ribosomal RNA, 377 nt
Filed under: uncultured bacterium
Lineage: Bacteria
Description: bacterial SSU rRNA
Rfam family: Bacterial small subunit ribosomal RNA
Source: RNAcentral